UUGAACGCUGGCGGAAUGCUUUACACAUGCAAGUCGAGCGGCAGCGCGGGGGCAACCCUGGCGGCGAGCGGCGAACGGGUGAGUAAUGCAUCGGAACAUGUCCAAUUGUGGGGGAUAACCUGGCGAAAGCCAGGCUAAUACCGCAUGAGCUCGAGAGAGGAAAGCGGGGGACCGUAAGGCCUCGCGCGAUUGGGUUGGCCGAUGUCCGAUUAGCUAGUUGGUGGGGUAAAGGCUUACCAAGGCGAUGAUCGGUAGCUGGUCUGAGAGGAUGAUCAGCCACACUGGGACUGAGACACGGCCCAGACUCCUACGGGAGGCAGCAGUGGGGAAUUUUGGACAAUGGGGGCAACCCUGAUCCAGCCAUUCCGCGUGAGUGAAGAAGGCCUUCGGGUUGUAAAGCUCUUUUGUCCGGAGCGAAACGGUUAGCGUGAAUAUCGCUGACUACUGACGGUACCGGAAGAAUAAGCACCGGCUAACUACGU
RNAcentral lists this ribosomal RNA (482 nucleotides) under uncultured bacterium. RNAcentral's name for it is "bacterial SSU rRNA". It matches the Rfam family "Bacterial small subunit ribosomal RNA", at positions 30 to 506 of the family's 1533-position model. The record is from RNAcentral.